RNAcentral lists this ribosomal RNA (460 nucleotides) under uncultured bacterium. Its description in RNAcentral is "partial 16S ribosomal RNA". It matches the Rfam family "Bacterial small subunit ribosomal RNA", at positions 338 to 795 of the family's 1533-position model. The record is from RNAcentral.
CCUACGGGAGGCAGCAGUGAGGAAUAUUGGUCAAUGGGCUUACGCCUGAACCAGCCAAGUCGCGUGAGGGAAGACUGCCCUAUGGGUUGUAAACCUCUUUUGUCAGGGAGCAACGCCGGCUACGUGUAGCCGGACUGAGAGUACCUGAAGAAAAAGCAUCGGCUAACUCCGUGCCAGCAGCCGCGGUAAUACGGAGGAUGCGAGCGUUAUCCGGAUUUAUUGGGUUUAAAGGGUGCGUAGGCGGAAUGCCAAGUCAGCGGUAAAAUCGCGGGGCUCAACCUCGCUCCGCCGUUGAAACUGGCGUUCUUGAGUGGGCGAGAAGUAUGCGGAAUGCGUGGUGUAGCGGUGAAAUGCAUAGAUAUCACGCAGAACUCCGAUUGCGAAGGCAGCAUACCGGCGCCCAACUGACGCUGAAGCUCGAAAGCAUGGGUAGCGAACAGGAUUAGAUACCCCAGUAGUC